Molecule: long non-coding RNA, 1025 nt
Filed under: Homo sapiens (human)
Lineage: Eukaryota; Metazoa; Chordata; Mammalia; Primates; Hominidae
Description: non-protein coding VIM-AS1:6
Source: RNAcentral
UAUGGGGGAGUUUUUGGAAAUGAGAGGAGGCUCAGGGAAUUAUAGGCAACCAAGAUUCUCAAGGCCAAACCCAACAGCGAUACUGAUAAUACAUGUGUGCUUACUAUCCAGUUUUUAAAUUUUCUCAUGCAAUACUAAUCUCAUUGCUUUUGUAUGUCAGAUUUUAAAAUAGAGCAUGCUUAAUAUACUUCAGAUGUCUGCAAGGGGAACAGCAGCAAAUACCACAGUCCCAUGGUAAAUAUAAGGGAAAAUUUGGACUCAGACAGCAAAGCUCCCUUUGGAUGACAUAGAUUUAUUACUUAGUAGUAUAUUAUGUAUUGGCUGUCCCACAUUUUGAAAUUUAAUGGACUCGUGGUGAUCAGAAUAAAAGGUCAGUAUUUCCUACAAUAUGUUGAUACGUUAAAGGCAGAACUAACACCUCAUUUUCUAAGCAGAACUAUUAUCUUAUUAAAUGUCUAAGUUGACAUUUCUUGCCAAUUUUUUUUUACUUAAUGUAACAGUGCUGUUUCAAAUACUAGUCAUUAUUUAAUAACUAAAAUGGAAUGCUGAAGAAUUUUAUGCUAUGACAUAAAAUGCCGUAUUUUUUCCCCAAAUAUCUUGAAAAAGGCAAUGAGUCAUGACAAAUAUUUCUUUUCUUCUCAAUAUAGAAGCCUUCGAUGUGAGGCCCAGGCAUUGAGUACCAUGUGUGCGAUUCACAAGCCUUGGCAUCUGAACAAUUUUUUGGAAGGAUCCAUCAGGACAACACGUCGGGGGUGUACUAGUGAAGUGAUUUUCCAAAUGUGCUACUCAGACCUGUAGCAUCAGCAUCACCGGAUAAUUUGUUAGAAAUUCCAACUGUUAGGCCCCACUUUAGACCAACUGAAUGUGAAACUCUGGGAGUACGUGGGGCCCAGCAAUUUGUGUUUUUACAAGACUUACCAGGUGAUUCUGAGAACCACUGUGCUAGUGAAUUGUUCCUGUCUGUGGCCACGUAGAAUAAGAAAACCAUAGGGUUGGAAAAUGGGGAAACUGGUGAGUGUUCGCUU